Molecule: long non-coding RNA, 225 nt
Filed under: Homo sapiens (human)
Lineage: Eukaryota; Metazoa; Chordata; Mammalia; Primates; Hominidae
Description: non-protein coding lnc-ACBD5-4:1
Source: RNAcentral
AUGAACAAUGUCGUACAGACUCACACACACAUGGAGCUUCAAUCGUAUGAUCAAUGCUUCAGUUGUUGGUUUGUGGAGAAGCUUCUCAAGGGCGACAGCUCUGGGGAGCCGUGCUCCAACCUCUUCAAGCAUUACCUGCAGUGUGUUCAGAAAGCAACAACAGAGAGAAUCUCUGUUGAAGGACUGAGUUCACGGGCCAUGGUGAAGAAAAGUAUGAAGAGUCUU